GGAUCUGUCUGUGUGAUGCUUUUGCUGGGGACAGAACAGGAAUGGAGUCUUAGAACUUAGUAAGGGAAUAGAGGCAGAAAAAUAAGCAAAAUAGGUGAGAGUGAAGCUCAGAAGAAGCUAGAACUGCACAGGUAGCAAAUUGCUAAGAAGGAAUGAGAGAGCCAGCAAGCCCUGACUUAAAAGACAAAGAACUUGAGGCCCAGAAAUAGGCUCAUAUUGAAGCACAAAAAGCUGCCCUGGAAAAAGAAAAGACUGCCUACCAGCAAACCCUGGACUUAAAAGACAAAGAAACUGAGGCCCAGAGACAAGCAUAAAUUGAGACCCAGAAGCAUGAACUGGCUAUAAUGGAGUGGAAGAGGUGCACAGAGACAUGUAUCCUGGCAGUGGAAGUUGGGGUCCUGGUGACUGCUGCGGUACAAACAGACCCCAAGGACUCUGUAGCUGGAAGCAAGCCCAACCUGAGUGGGAGGAGGGUGGAGAUUUGACUGGCUAGUGAAGUGUCUGUCAUAGCUGGUAGCUGUGAGCCCACAACCAGGUCAGGGUCACAUUCCCUUUUGGGGGACAAAGGCGUAUCUGCCUCAGAGGGGAGCCCAGAGAGGGAAGUCCAGAUGAAAGGUACGGGGGGACAGGAGGGUCUGCCCACCUUUUGUAGGAAGGCUUUUCCCCAGGCAAAGGGUGAAGCAUCUGCAUCUGAAAUGCUAGACCCCUCACCUGUGGAUCAGGUUUAAAGGGAAGACUGGAGGUCAGAUCUCCUGGAGGGGAGAGUCCACCCAGCUGACCUUUUGGGAACAGAGAAUGGGGUGACUGCGGGGAUCUUACCAAUCCAAAACACUCCACUGAAAGAUGUUGUUCUUCCUAUGCUUGUAAUAGAUAACACUAUUGCUUCAAAGCAGGGGGAGGAAAAACUUUUCAUUUGGAAAGCAUCACAAGCUGGUGGGGUCCAACACAAAGAGAUUCCAGCAGGAGGGGCAGAGCUCAGGCAUGGUUGCAGUGCACCUUUUCCUUGCCAAAACCCCAAACACAUACCUGAAUUGAGAGCCUUCUCCAAAGAGAACUGGGUAGCAGAUGACCUGUCCAGAAAAGAGGAAUUUCCUUGCAUUCCACAUGCUUUAUGAAAAUAUGCUUAUAAAUGUGAAUAUGAUGUAACUGGAAUAUGCUUUAUGCAAAAGGUCUCUUGUAAGGUAUCAUUAAGAACCUUAUAGUCUACUGAGUGUGUUCAUCCUAUUUAUUUGCCUGUAUUAGUUCUAUGUCUGGAGUUAGGAGAAUAAGAUCUAAACUUGUAUUACUGAUACAAUAAUACGAUACUGAUAAUAUGUUUACAUAUUAAGUGGAAGCCAUUAAGGGUGCUUCAGAUUCAAUGACCUGUAUAUGGCUCUGUUUACUUGCAAACCUUCCUGUGUACGUGUGGGCCAGUCCAGCAAGAAUGGAGGCUAGGGUCUCUCAGAACAAGUGACCAUGUCACAUGAUGCUGGAAUCCAUAUUAAAUCUGGUACUUUUCCAUUUAGAAGGAGGGGUGGGGACCCAGAGAGACAAAAGAUUCUUGCCUUGGGCCAAAUCUAUAAAAGGGGGUGGAACAGGGCAAAGGGCUGCCAGUCAUAAGAAAGCCCUUGCUUAACACCUAAGAUGUCUGCUGGAACUAACAAGGACUGUACCGGGGAAAGGAUUGGGCCCAGACUAGAAAGAAGUCCAGUCUGUGAAAGAAGCUUAUGGAACAUCUCUGAGGGUCUUGGGUCAUUCUGCCAAUGUGGAUCUCUCUGCUGAAGUCACAACUCUCCCCGUCAGUGAUCUGCAUUUCUCAAACUGCUAUCCCAGUGGUGGUGCCUCCGGGGAAAUAAUGGGUAAUCCACUUAACAGGAGGUACCACACUGCUUUCAUAAGCUGCAGAAGAUGGAGGAAUCUGAAGCAAAUUGGAAGCAAGAGGAGCCCGUGAUUGUGUUGUACAAAGGCCUUGCCACCAUGUUGUAGGAGGAACGUGCUUGGCAGAUUCACAGAUUGCAUUGUUGGACCAAACACCCGAAGAGGUUCUGUAUUCUGCAACAUUUGAAGACACUUUUGUUUUCCUGAGUUACCUGACCAGUGAGAUUAAACAUGAUAAAAAUAUGACAUUAGUCAGCAUCACAGAUCCUGUCUUCAGAGCAUGAAGCCUUGGGUAACUCGAUCAUUUAAGACACAUUGACUUUUACUGCUGCCACUGAUACAGACUAAUACGGCUGCUACUCCGAAACCCGUCAAAGAAAAGUGCUAUUGAAACGAAGCUGGGACCUCGUCCUGUUAAUGGAGGACAGCCAGACUUAUUCAGAAUUAUGUGCUGGUGACUGACACCUGAAAUAAUUUGUCAAACCUUAUUGAGAUGUUACUUUCACAUGACUUUGUAUCUCUUCUAGCAGAUAAUACAGCCAUUCAUUCUGGAUUUCAAACCAUGGAAAUACCUUGACUUUCUGAGGGUCUACUACUUCCCUAUUCAUGACUGCCACCUGUAUGUAGGCCUGGCUCAAGGUUUUGUCAUCCCAUUGCUCCUCUAUGAAGUUGGAGAACCUCCCUUUCUCUAUCCUCACUGGUGUUUGCAGCAUUUUCAUCUGUGAAGCUCAAUAAAGCAAUGUGAAAACUAUCAAAGGGAACCACCUGAGUUUAGGAAUCUGACCCUGCAUAGAACUAAUGAGACUGGAGAGAAAUGCCCUGUCAAGUCCCUGAAAGUUAUAGAAUCAUAGGACUGGAAGGGACCUAGAGAGGUCUCACUGAAAGGACCUUACCAAACAGCUACGUGAUAUCUGGGUCAUUGGGGAACUACACACUGCCCAGAGGAGAACUGCGAGGACCCUGAGAACAGAGAAAGGAAUCCGUCCCCAGGUGAUGGCAGGAGGCCUGACUCCAGAAGAGAGUCCUGGGUUGAAAGGAGUCUCUUUGUCUGGAGACCUGAAUAGUUCAGCUGGAGGAAGAACAGAGGAGCAGCGAGAUGGUGAACAACCAGCUCAAGGAAGCAAAUCUAAAGGCAGUGGAUUUGAAAAUGGGACAAAAUGCAGUUAAAACAUCAGAAAAUCAGGAUGCUCUCCCUCUCAUCUGUGAUCAAUCACAUAUCCAAAUGGUGGUGUGUCAGCAGUUUCCACGGCCAGCUUGUGUGGUGAAGAGGGAAAUGAGGCUUUUUACUACUUGGGAAACAAGUUAGGAUUGUGGACACAAACUGUAUGUUUCCAGCAGUGAAAUAGUUAACGGUGUUGACACGUACAUCAUCACCUUCAGGUUUCAGAUUUUCACCCUGUGCAAUGCAUAGGGUCAAUCAUACCACUCAGAACUGUUUCAGAGUACCAGCCUUGUUAGUCUGUAUUCGCCAAAAGAAAAGGAGGACUUGUAGCACUUUAGAGACUAACACAUUUAUUUGAGCAUAAGCUUUCGUGAGCUACAGCUCACUUCAUCAGACGCUCAAAUAAAUGUGUUAGUCUCUAAGGUGCCACAAGUCCUCCUUUUCUUUUUUCAGAACUGUUGUUUCAGAUUGUCGGCAGACUCAGGAAGAGACACUGCAUCAGUUUACCUUGGGUCACAUUUUGAAGGUUUAGGGGACAAGAGGCAGCUUCAGCUUUUGAAGGAGCAGGACUGGUCAGCAGCAGCAGCAGCAUGUUGCUUAGUAGUAUGAAACCACCUGCUAAGCAAUGCAGUCUUAUGUGAACACAACACUCAUGAUUAGUCUGCUCUGGCUCUCUGUUUCCUUCUGGUUGCAAUUCAAGGUGUAAAUGAUAUUUAAAGUCCUGAGUGAUUAGGGCUCUGAGAAUUUAACUUUCAUUCUAUGGAUCAAAGCAGUUGAGAUGGAUUCUGACAGUAAGCACUUCCCAACCAAAGGCUGGCAACAAGGAUUUUUAGUUGAUGGCCACCUUCUUUUAGAAUUCACUCCCAUUGGCGGUCCAUUUAUGAAUCUAGCAACUUUCAGCCCAGAAUGCCAGAUGCAAUAGUUCUUGUUUAGCAUUUGAUUAACUGUUUGUUAGUUUUGUUCUGUUCUGUUUGUACUUGCUGUCACCAUGUUGGUGCUACAGAACAUAUAAAAAUAAUAAUCUGUAUUCUCAUAAUUUAAGGUGUAGUUCAGGUUAUUUAUCACUUUAAUAAACACAUGAUGUCAUUUAUAACGACUGUCAUCUUGGUCAUCCCUGAAAACUCAACCCAGAAUUGCUUAACAAAAACAGGAGCCAUUAGAGUAUACUAAGCCCUUAGCUAGCAGCUGUAGCAUAUUUUCUACAGCAGGGAGAGGGACACAACACACACUGAGCAGGAUACUCCGAGACUGAGCUACUGUAGCUAUGAACAGCUGGAGAAUGAGGCCAUGCUGAGCAGGAGAUUAAAGCACUAUUGAGUUGGAAACCUGAAUGCCAUGGAAAAAUCUGAAGACCUCACACAGUGCUAGAACCCCUCUCCUGGUACAUACACAAUCACCAGAAUGUCUUCCUUAACAUUCCUAGUGCAAUAGUAUUAUAUCUUAUGAUAUAGUAAUACAUAAUAUAUUACAGUAGCAUAUAGCAACUACAAUCAAGACAACAUUGUGAUAGGCACCGUA
Molecule: long non-coding RNA, 4537 nt
Organism: Dermochelys coriacea (leatherback sea turtle)
Lineage: Eukaryota; Metazoa; Chordata; Testudines; Dermochelyidae
Exons: 10
Source: RefSeq, a predicted model, not a curated record